RNAcentral lists this long non-coding RNA (904 nucleotides) under Scophthalmus maximus (turbot). Its description in RNAcentral is "lncRNA (ENSSMAG00000029686.1)". Lineage: Eukaryota; Metazoa; Chordata; Actinopteri; Pleuronectiformes; Scophthalmidae. The record is from RNAcentral.
AACUUGGCCGACUGUGCGUUGAGUGUUUACAGUGCGGUCGUGUCGGGGGCCGAUUCGUACGUUAUUCCUCCGCUCCAGUGAAGCUCAAUGAGAUGAUUCAGGGACACGGCGAGUGAUUCGUUUGUUUUCCUCAGUGUUUUUUAAUUUUUUUUUUAUUGUUUUUGGGCCGAGUGAGCGGGAGGGAGCCAGGGAGGGCUACGUCUGCUCACACUGGAGGAAUUGUGUGUGUGUGUGUGUGUGUGUGUGUGUGUGUGUGUGCUUUUAAACCGUCUCCCUCCUUAACGCCCUUGGAUGACACAGCUCACUGAUGCAUCUCGCUCAUUAUCAUCACACACACACACACACACACACACACUCUGAAUAAUGGCUACUGUGUGUUAAUCUGUGUGUCAUGAGGAAUGCUCGAGGGGCCCCGCGUGCAGCCGUGUAACCUCCUCAGCCUCUCCGAGUCACACUGUGUGAAGACACGGUCAGAUCUGAAACAACAACAACAGCGACGGCGAAGAAGACGAUGAAUCAUUUGUCAGUACAUCGUUACAGUAAAUGGCUUCUACACUGUAUCGAACCAAACGGAAGAAAAGCAGUGGCUCUCUGACAGAGCAUGAGGGACAAUGAACGGCAAAGGGCAACAGAUCGUAACCGAAACAGCGGCUGCUGCAGAGGACUCAGUCCCUGUGGGACGCCUGCUCCACCAGUGUAACGGGAGCCCUGUACCUGCUGAGCCGAGCCCCGACCCCCGCGACCUCUGACCCCACCUGCCAGGUCUUUCUCAUGCCCACCCUGACCUGCGGUGAAACCAGAGAGCGCUGUGGGAGAGAGGGAAGUGCGACCGGCAUCAAACGUCGUCAUCGAGGUAAACAGCUUCCCGGUUCAGAGGUGGAAGAUGAAAUGAAGCCUGAACAUG